GCCGCCCACAGAAUGGAGACCAUUUGCAAUACAAUGGUUUCCGACACAUCUUUAGCUAGUGUAAGGUUCGCUCUAGCCCUGUAUGAUAGAUAUUGGCGAUCAGAAAACACGAAAAUCAGCAUAAAAAAAUAAAUAUGUACGGCUAUAUGACUUAACCCCUUCACGAACCGCAGGUGGAUGCAACCUCUACUAGACAAACUAUAGAUCUGCCUUGAAAUCUAAAAAUAAAAAAAAUAAAAUUUUUACAUGGACGGAUGUCGAUUAGUUGCGGAUUAGGCAUGAAAAUUCUAUGAACUGACAAUUAGACGAGAGCGUAAGCGCCAAUUACAUCAAGUUUUAUUUCAGUCAUGCAGGUUGCAAUGCGGCCGAGACCUGACAGUCAGCUGAUGACAGGGAGCCUGUCUGCUUCAAUGGGUGGAGCGAUCGCUUGGUGGGAGAGAGAUCAACCUGCAACUAAUGCAACAGCUGUAGGCACCCUGAUUGAAAACCACAGGUCUUUUGAAUGGAUGCAGCUCA
Long non-coding RNA from Hyla sarda, 516 nucleotides. RefSeq lists it as uncharacterized. Lineage: Eukaryota; Metazoa; Chordata; Amphibia; Anura; Hylidae. The transcript has 3 exons. The record is from RefSeq and is a predicted model, not a curated record.